RNAcentral lists this transfer RNA (105 nucleotides) under Aspergillus aculeatus ATCC 16872. It matches the Rfam family "tRNA". Rfam says of the family: Transfer RNA (tRNA) molecules are approximately 80 nucleotides in length. Their secondary structure includes four short double-helical elements and three loops (D, anti-codon, and T loops). The record is from Rfam by way of RNAcentral. Lineage: Eukaryota; Fungi; Ascomycota; Eurotiomycetes; Eurotiales; Aspergillaceae.
GGUAAGGUGGCCGAGUGGUUAAGGCGUUGGAUUUAAGAGCGACGUUUGUCACCUUGAAGUUCCCCAAUGACGAGAGUCUCCAGGGUUCGAACCCCUGUCUUACCA